This is a long non-coding RNA of Ipomoea nil (Japanese morning glory), 553 nucleotides long. RefSeq lists it as uncharacterized. The record is from RefSeq and is a predicted model, not a curated record. NCBI's taxonomy places the organism in Eukaryota, Viridiplantae, Streptophyta, Magnoliopsida, Solanales, Convolvulaceae. The transcript is spliced from 2 exons.
CAUCGAUAUUUAUGGGUAGUGUAUUUAUAAUGGGCAGAAUUCAGCAUAGACACACGAACUUAAAGGGUAGGCCUUAAGGCCAAACUCCCUUAAAUAGUUGCAUGUGGACAACCCCAUAAACACGACGGGCCAACCCAGACACUUCACAUGCUGAAAUGAACAAGAAAGUUGAUGUUAGUAUGUUACCAUGACAGGAAGAUAUCACUAGGAGGAAGAGGACCAACCGGUAGUGACCAUGGCUGUGGUUGCAGGCAGCAGCUAUGAUGAUGCUAGCCACAACUAAUCCUAUAGUAGGCAGAGCUUUGUGCCACUUCCAGGCUUAGCUGUGAUGUAAGUUAUUUCAGUUUUCUUUUGUUAGGAGAUUGACCAAGGCUGUGGUUAGGUCCCUGUAGCAGCCCAGCCACUGAGGCUUUUAUUGCAUUUUGAAAGGGAGAUUUUGCUACCUUUUAUUUUUGUUUUGUGUAUGGAUUUGGUAUGUAAUGUAAUGGAUUAGGUAUUUUGUUGAUACAUCUCAUUAUGUGUCUCAAUCAAUUAAUGAUAACUUAAUACAUUA